This 490-nucleotide unclassified non-coding RNA is filed under the name Hevea brasiliensis (rubber tree). The record is from RNAcentral. Lineage: Eukaryota; Viridiplantae; Streptophyta; Magnoliopsida; Malpighiales; Euphorbiaceae.
GGGAACUGGACAAACUGUUAAAGUAGCAGUGCUUACACAAGGUAGCUAUUCUACUCAAUUUGCUGACUUGUACCAAUUUGUUUGGCAUACUUAAUAUGUAUCUGUGCUUUUCAGUCAAGUUCCUAUCACUUUUAUCAGUGGAAAAAUGUUAUUGAACAGAGAUUUUUAGGACUAAAAGAGCCAGUUAUUAUAUAAAUUGCUGUGGAUUGUUUAAAUUGUUGAAUCCCAAAAUAUUGAACUUAGACAGUCAGAUAUAUGGUAGUAACCUUACUUUUCCUUUUCAAGUUCAUUAUAGGCUGAAUGCUCUAUCGAUGGAGCCAGUAAAGGUGUUGAAGGCAGUUUUAUCUUAAUGUAUUUCAGGAGAAUGUAUUAUCCUCAAGCAAGUUUGAUCCUUUGGGUGGGUUUUUAUUGUUCACUGGUGAAAAACUUGGGGAUUGCUGUUGGUGUAGGGUUUUAUUGGAAAGAUGGUGAAAUAGCUGAAUUUCAUCUC